RNAcentral lists this ribosomal RNA (1415 nucleotides) under metagenome. Its description in RNAcentral is "bacterial LSU rRNA". It matches the Rfam family "Bacterial large subunit ribosomal RNA", at positions 1529 to 2925 of the family's 2925-position model. The record is from RNAcentral.
CUCUUAGGCAAAUCCGGGAUCACUUACGCCGAGCACCGAGGCGAGUCCUAUGAGGACGAAGUGACUGACACCACGCUUCCAGGAAAAGCCACUAAGCUUCAGCUUAAGAAAAACCGUACCGCAAACCGACACAGGUAGGCAGGGUGAGAAUCCCAAGGCGCUUGAGAGAGCUCGGGUGAAGGAACUAGGCAAAAUGGCACCGUAACUUCGGGAGAAGGUGCGCCCUUUGGUGUGGUCACGUGCGUGACUGAGCAUCGAAGGGUCGCAGUAACCUGGCCGCUGCGACUGUUUAUCAAAAACACAGCACUCUGCAAACACGAAAGUGGACGUAUAGGGUGUGACGCCUGCCCGGUGCUGGAAGGUUAAUUGAUGGGGUCAGCCGCAAGGCGAAGCUCUUGAUCGAAGCCCCAGUAAACGGCGGCCGUAACGAUAACGGUCCUAAGGUAGCGAAAUUCCUUGUCGGGUAAGUUCCGACCUGCACGAAUGGCGUAACGACAGCGGCGCUGUCUCCACCCGAGACUCAGUGAAAUUGAAAUCGCUGUGAAGAUGCAGCGUUCCCGCGGCAAGACGGAAAGACCCCGUGAACCUUUACUAUAGCUUUACACUGAACGUUGAGUUCUUCUGUGUAGGAUAGGUGGGAGGCUAUGAAACCAGGACGCUAGUUCUGGUGGAGCCAUCCUUGAAAUACCACCCUGAAGUGCUUGACGUUCUAACCUAGGCCCGUAAUCCGGGUCAGGGACCGUGUAUGGUGGGUAGUUUGACUGGGGCGGUCUCCUCCCAAAGAGUAACGGAGGAGCACGAAGGUACGCUCAGCGCGGUCGGACAUCGCGCACUGUGUGCAAAGGCAUAAGCGUGCUUGACUGCGAGAUCGACGGAUCAAGCAGGUACGAAAGUAGGUCUUAGUGAUCCGGUGGUUCUGUAUGGAAGGGCCAUCGCUCAACGGAUAAAAGGUACUCCGGGGAUAACAGGCUGAUACCGCCCAAGAGUUCAUAUCGACGGCGGUGUUUGGCACCUCGAUGUCGGCUCAUCACAUCCUGGGGCUGUAGCCGGUCCCAAGGGUAUGGCUGUUCGCCAUUUAAAGUGGUACGCGAGCUGGGUUCAGAACGUCGUGAGACAGUUCGGUCCCUAUCUGUCGUGGGCGUUGGAGAUUUGAGGGGGGCUGCUCCUAGUACGAGAGGACCGGAGUGGACGUUCCGCUGGUGUUCGGGUUGUCAUGCCCAUGGCAUUGCCCGGUAGCUACGAACGGAAGUGAUAACCGCUGAAAGCAUCUAAGCGGGAAGCACGCCCCAAGAUGAGAUCUCCCGAGAGCUUGACUCUCCUAAAGGCACCAUCAAGACUAGGUGGUUGAUAGGUCAGGUGUGGAAGCGCAGCAAUGCGUUGAGCUAACUGAUACUAAUGAGCCGUGAGGCUUGAGC